AUGUGGCUCAGUGUUAAGAGCACUGUCUACAAUCCAAGAGGACCUGGGUUUGAUUCCCAGCAU
Molecule: transfer RNA, 63 nt
Filed under: Mesocricetus auratus (golden hamster)
Lineage: Eukaryota; Metazoa; Chordata; Mammalia; Rodentia; Cricetidae
Rfam family: tRNA
About the family: Transfer RNA (tRNA) molecules are approximately 80 nucleotides in length. Their secondary structure includes four short double-helical elements and three loops (D, anti-codon, and T loops).
Source: Rfam by way of RNAcentral